Cercocebus atys (sooty mangabey) is the source of this 3991-nucleotide long non-coding RNA. RefSeq lists it as uncharacterized. The transcript has 3 exons. NCBI's taxonomy places the organism in Eukaryota, Metazoa, Chordata, Mammalia, Primates, Cercopithecidae. The record is from RefSeq and is a predicted model, not a curated record.
UGAUCCGCUCUCCUCAGCCUCCCUAAAUGCUGGUAUUAUCGGCAUGAACCACUGCACCUGGCCAAGGUCAUGGAGACUUCUGUCCUGGCCAUCUAAGUGGUCUGUCCACCUCCCCCAUUAUCCCAUGCCUCUCAAUUCCUACGCAAGAUGCAAAACAUCUGGAAAAAUGGACUGUAUCCAUUCCUCUCUUCCAAACUCUUCACUGGCCUUGAUGUGCAUUUAGGAUAAAAUCCAGACUCCGAAGCCCCCUGCAUAAAAUAAUCCCCUAGGAUGCUUGCUCACCAACCAGAUUCCAAGCUCCUGCCCCAAGAUGCUGAUUCAGCAAGGCUGAGAUGGACCCAAGCAUCUGCCAUUGCAACACCCCCCUGCGGGAAUCCUGAUGCAGGCCACCCAUGAAACUUAUUUUGGAAAUACUGUCCUCCAGAUUUGACCUCUAAUGCCUCUUCUCUCAUCUGGUGCUGCUUGCUCUCCCCUGGUGCACGGUCUCCUGUUGCAGAGCCCAGAAAGGGCCGGGUACAGCCUUUAGCCAUCAGCCCCCGUCUCUAACAGCCCUUACACCCAUUCUUUGAUGUAGACAAUAAAGCACAUAAAGUGCUGUUUUAAACUUAAAGACAAAUAAUCCAUUUUCUGUAUCACUGAUACAGAACAUUCUGGAGCUACCAGCAUUCUUUCCUAUAUCAAAAGGUUCCAGUGGCCUGUAUUUUUCUUCCUACAACGUCAGCCUCUGCCCCAAAUGUACCCCCACUCCAUUCUUGGAGUGAUUCGUGUCAAGUGUUUAGCUCCCUACUAGACUGAAAGCUGUUUGAGGGCAAGAGCUCUUUUCUUCUCUGCUGUAUACAAAGAACUAAGCACAUUGCCUGGAAUAUAAAUAAGGCUUAAUAAAUAUUUGUCACAUGAACAUGAAAAAGCAGUCAAUUUCCGGAUGACCUUCAAGUAAAUAAAGUCAGUCUGAGAUGUGGGAGGUCUCCACGGCAGGUAGCAAGAGGAACACUAAGAAAAGUGAGCGGUAAACGAAGAUGAACAGCGACCGCCCUGCAAUGUUCCCAGCUGGGGGUGAACACUAAUGAACACGUGCAAAUGGCCCCAGGGCUCUUCUAGACCUUUGAAAUCCUAGGCCGGAGGUCAUCGCUCGGCUCUGAUUUAGAGACCACCUGCCACUGUGCAGCCCUGGGAUUCCAUUGCUCACCCCAACUGCAGAGGCCUGUCUCCUCCCUCACCCCUCCUCUGACUCCUCGUAAACCAGGUUCAACUCACCUUAAAAUCAGUGUCCUCAUUUGUCUUUUUGAGGACUACUAAAAUCCUUAAAGAGACAUUCUAAUGAGCUUAUUCUCUUUGACUUAGGAGUACAGAGGUGUUUGGUCAUUUUAAGGAUUCCUCCUUUAUUUUACUAAAAGUUUUGUGUUCACCCCUCUCCAGCUCCCAGCAAAUAUUGUGAGACCUGUGGAACCCCCGGACUCCUCCUAGGAGGGGCAUAGCUUUAGGAAGUCGUGAACCCCUUAAAACUGUAUCUGAUUUUUUGUGUGUAUAUUCAUGGCUUCCUAUCCUAUUUUAAAAGAUUGAAAAUCACUGGCAUAGUAGAAGCAACACUGUCUUUUUAACGAAAAUGUCUGUGUUCAAAUCCCAGCUCUACACCUGUCAAUUGAAGUAACUGGGCAGACCAUUUAAGUCAUAUGAAAGCUCGAAUCUUACUAAAUUGUCUGCCUGAAAGCCCUCAUAGGCUACAAAGCACGGAAUUCCAGUAUGUUAUCUCUCAAGAACCUCAACCAGGGGUCCCUAGACAAUCACAUUUGCUCUUAUCACCUUCCCCGUCACUGCAUAAGGUCUGCGCAAGUGAUUCCCAUUCUACAGAUGAGAACACUGAGGCCAAGGUAGGUGAUUGAAUGUCCCCGAGGUCACAGGAUCAAUGACUGAAAGAAGCUGAACCUUGAAGGUAGAAAGAAAGGAGGGGAAUUCAAAGAAGAAGAAGAAAAAUAAAAACAAGAAACAAAAUCAUGCUUCUUUGUCGUCCUUCUGGAACUCAGACUCCCAGCUCUUUGGAGUGAGUUAGGUGGAGUUCUGGAAUGUUUUGCAAGACGAAGAUAGCUUUCCCAUUCUGUCGCGUUCUUGCUCUCCUCUGACGCCCACCUGCUUGUUGCUUUCUGCUGGUGUCUCACCUUCUGCAGGCGAGGAGCGCAUGAGAGUCGGGCUGGGUGAAACCGGGGCUCCAUCUGCCCGCGUGCUUUCUGGGGAUGUCUGAAGGUAACUUUGUGCUGGCGCCCCUUGCCAGGAAGCUGAGAAGCCUUCUGCAGCACCACCCGGCUCCCAUCCACUCUCCGCGGAAUAAGCUGGUACCAAAGCCAGCCCCUGGUGCCGCUCAACCAGAUGGCAGGGGAAGCAAAACAAAAGUGACCUUGUUAGCAGAAUGUGUCUUCCCCGGGAGAAGCUAUUUCUGUUGUGGUUGUGAACUGAAGUCGCCUCAGCUGAAUUCUCCUUCCCUGCGAGGGCUGUGGAAUGUUAAUUUGUUCCAAAGUUCAGUAUUUUGAUUAGAACCAGGAGUGCCAGAUUUUGUCAGAAACAUUUUGGAAUGGGGUAGGCUCACACACACUCUCUCUCUCUUUCUCUCUCACUCUCUCUCUUGGCCGCUGUACAAAGUAAAUGUUGUUGCAGCAGCUGCCCUGGGGGAACAGCCCAUUGCAAAUCGGAGUCGGGGGGGUGAACCGGCUCCUCCCUGUUGCCGUGACCUUAUUGCCACAAACGCACCCAGACUGGGGACAAAAGUGGAGACACCCUUUCACUUGGAGAGAACAAAGAGCCGAGCACAGAACCUGGAACGGAGGGAUCCUCAGGAAACAUGUCAUAGUAUAGUAGUUGGGAGUAUGGAAUUUGAAUCUGGAUUGCCUGGGGUCUCAUCCUGGCCCUGGAGUAGCCGGAGGAAGAGCAGCUGUGUGGACAAGUGAACCCGGCUGAAAGUCAAUUUCGCAGUGUCUGGACCAGGAAUGAUGGCAGAGGUUAUGUUCCAGGGUGCUCGUGAGGAUCGGUGCAUGAACUAGCGGGUGCUAAGUGCUCAGAGCAGGCUGACCAGCACCAGCGCUGCAGGGGUUGGCUUUUAUCAUUGCCGCUAUCAUUCCCCCAAUCACUUAGGACGCUGAGCACCUCCAUCCCCCACCUUCACUUUCAGUUCAGUGUGGACAGUUUCCCACGUUUCCCAGUCUCCCAGCACUAAGGCUGGGAAAGAACCCGGGAGCGGUGAAUUCCCGAUUCUGUUUCUGCCUCUUACAGGACACCCUGCGGCUUCUUCCUGCCUUCUUCAAAGUUCAGCCCAAGAGGAAGAGAGACCUAAUGAAUACUCAGGAGGUGGUGGCGUCUCUGUUUCUCCCAGCUGGGACAACUAAGGCCCCGAGAGGAGAAAGGGACCCUCCGGGGUACAGAGGCCACUGAGUCAGAGCCAGGACCAACAUCCCACCAGCUCUCCCUCUUCAGCGCGGACCCCAGCUCACCAGCGGCGGCUUCCUGAAGAGCUGGGUUAAGGCGGAUUCCGGGUGCAGCAGAGCUCGCUAAGAGAGAGAGGCUGAGGGGGCCUUACUCUUCUCAUCAGCAAGUGGGGACAGUGAAUCGACCCGGAGGCCUGGGAGAGGCAGGAAUAAUGAUGCACGAGAGAGAAUUCUGGAUUCGGGAGAAUCAGAGGCUUAACGAAUACAAUGCUGACAAUAGGAACAUUAUGAUACAAGAAACUAUUUGUAUCCAUCGUCCUUUCCUCACCUGAAAUAACGUAUGGAUUCCUACUCAGUGAUGACAUUUUUCAGGCACCAAGAGUUGCCCAUGGAACAAGAAGUACAUAAACUUCCUUGCUUUGUAGAAAACAGAUUCCGUUUUAUAAGUAGUUUGAUAUUUCGACACUACCUCCAAAGAUUGGGAAGACCCCUCACGAAGCAACAGGAGUCAGCCAGAAAGAAAAGAAUCAGCCGAAGGCUGGGAAGCCGAGGCUGCAGUCAGCCGAGAUCGCACCAUUGCA